GUGCCAGCCGCCGCGGUAAUACGUAGGGGGCAAGCGUUGUCCGGAAUCAUUGGGCGUAAAGCGCGUGUAGGCGGUCCGAUAAGUCGGCUGUGAAAGUCCAGGGCUCAACCCUGGGAUGCCGGUCGAUACUGUCGGACUAGAGUUCGGAAGAGGCGAGUGGAAUUCCCGGUGUAGCGGUGAAAUGCGCAGAUAUCGGGAGGAACACCAAUGGCGAAGGCAGCUCGCUGGGACGUUACUGACGCUGAGACGCGAAAGCGUGGGGAGCAAACAGGAUUAGAUACCCUAGUAGUCC
Molecule: ribosomal RNA, 292 nt
Filed under: uncultured bacterium
Lineage: Bacteria
Description: partial 16S ribosomal RNA
Rfam family: Bacterial small subunit ribosomal RNA
Source: RNAcentral